AUGAACGCUAGCUACAGGCUUAACACAUGCAAGUCGAGGGGCAUCGAGAGGAAAGCUUGCUUCCUGUCGGCGACCGGCGCACGGGUGAGUAACGCGUAUCCAACCUUCCCCUUAGUAGGGCAUAGCCCGGCGAAAGUCGGAUUAAUACCCUAUGUUUUUCCGAUGAGGACAUCUGAGCUGGAAUAAAGAUUUAUCGCUAAGGGAUGGGGAUGCGUCUGAUUAGGUAGUCGGCGGGGUAACGGCCCACCGAGCCAACGAUCAGUAGGGGUUCUGAGAGGAAGGUCCCCCACAUUGGUACUGAGACACGGACCAAACUCCUACGGGAGGCAGCAGUGAGGAAUAUUGGUCAAUGGGCGAGAGCCUGAACCAGCCAAGUAAGCGUGCAGGAUGACGGCCCUAUGGGUUGUAAACUGCUUUUAUCGGGGGAUAAAGUGAGGGACGCGUCCCUUUUUGUAGGUACCCGAUGAAUAAGGACCGGCUAAUUCCGUGCCAGCAGCCGC
This 500-nucleotide ribosomal RNA is filed under the name uncultured bacterium. Its description in RNAcentral is "bacterial SSU rRNA". It matches the Rfam family "Bacterial small subunit ribosomal RNA", at positions 29 to 518 of the family's 1533-position model. The record is from RNAcentral.